GACGAACGCUGGCGGCGUGCUUAACACAUGCAAGUCGAACGGAAAGGCCCUGCUUUUGUGGGGUGCUCGAGUGGCGAACGGGUGAGUAACACGUGAGUAACCUGCCCCUGACUUUGGGAUAACUUCAGGAAACUGGGGCUAAUACCGGAUAGGAGCUCCUGCUGCAUGGUGGGGGUUGGAAAGUUUCGGCGGUUGGGGAUGGACUCGCGGCGUAUCAGCUUGUUGGUGGGGUAGUGGCUUACCAAGGCUAUGACGGGUAGCCGGCCUGCGAGGGUGACCGGCCACAUUGGGACUGGAAUGCGGCCCAGACUCCUACGGGAGGCAGCAGUGGAGAAUAUUGCACAAUGGGCGGAAGCCUGAUGCAGCAACGCCGCGUGCGGGAUGACGGCCUUCGGGUUGUAAACCGCUUUCGCCUGUGACGAAGCGUGAGUGACGGUAAUGGGUAAAGAAGCACCGGCUAACUACGUG
This 468-nucleotide ribosomal RNA is filed under the name uncultured bacterium. RNAcentral's name for it is "partial 16S ribosomal RNA". It matches the Rfam family "Bacterial small subunit ribosomal RNA", at positions 28 to 507 of the family's 1533-position model. The record is from RNAcentral.